Molecule: long non-coding RNA, 1325 nt
Filed under: Amborella trichopoda
Lineage: Eukaryota; Viridiplantae; Streptophyta; Magnoliopsida; Amborellales; Amborellaceae
Description: long non-coding RNA (ATRI_LNC001230)
Source: RNAcentral
UUUUUUAUUAUAUUUUUUAAAUUGUACACCUAUUUUAAGAUGAUUUAGUUUAUCAUUGGUCGAAUUAUUUCUUCUCUCUCUCCUUAAUCUUCCAGUUCUUUUCACUUUUCUCUUCCUCUUCUUAAUUUUCGAGUUGUAUUCGGUUUUUCUCUCUAAUCUUUAAGGGCAACGGCUCUCCCUAAUUUAUUGAAUUGUCUUCUCUUCUUCUCUCUAAUUUUUGAAUUGUUUUCUCUUCUUCUCUCUAAUCUUCAAAGUAGCUUUCUCUACGUUUAAAACGAUAAAAGCAGUUUCUCUGAGCUGUUGUUUACCUUUUCUUUAGCAUUCUUUCUUUUACAACAUAAAUCUUUUUCUAAUGGUUCCUGUAACUCCAAAAAUGAUUGCUCUGUUUAUAUACAAUAAUAUAUACAAUAAAAAUUUUAUAUAAGUAUAGCUCUAAACAAUCAAAUUAAAGGGCACUUCAAGAAUUUCACAAGAAGAAGUUGUUUUUGAUGUAUCUUAAGCUCAAAAUGCAUGUAUAUUAGAAAAAAAAAUGGAUUUUAAUUUUUAAGAUUUCCAAGUUUUCAUAAAUAUGCUCGAUCUACACUAUUUUUUAAGCUUUAAAUAUCAUAAUUAGAUAUAAAAAUAUAAAUGUAUUUCAAGGCAAUCACAAAGGGUAUACUUCACCUACUGCAUAAAACUUAUAUACUUUCUUUUAAACUUAUAUACUUUCUUUUAUCCAACCUUCCAUUCUAAAGGGGGAGUUAAGAUUGUCCCAAUCACAAUGUCAUGUCUCUACACUACUUUAUUUUUAAUUUUUUUUCUAUAAACUAUUUUUACAUCAAAUUUUGGACAUCCAAUCUACUAUUGAACGACAUCGGAUCCUCUAUUGAACUUGCAUUAGCGAAAAAUAUUUCCAAUAAAAUAAAAUGACCAAAAUACCCCUAAAAGUUUCAAGGGGUAUUUUGGUCAUUAUAUUUUAUCAAAAAAUAUUUUUAAUAUUUUUUAUAGGUGCUCCCCAAUGAGAAGAUGGCAUGUACCAAAUUUCAUAUUCAUACAAUUUAUAUAAAAAAAUUAAAAAUAAAAUACUUUGAGACAUCGGAUCUAAGAUCAAAUAGUGAGUGACUCUUUUUAUCAAAAUUGGACGGCUGGAUGGUAAGGGAAGAAGCAUAAAUCUUCUAGCUGUUGGAUUAAGUGUUUCUAAAUAAUGAAUCCACCAAAAUCAAUUAAAACACAAUUAGCAAAUAAUAGUAGAAUAAGUUGAAGAAACUAAUAAUUAAAUAAACAUAUAAAUAUAUUCAAAAUUCUCACCGAUCACCUGCGCUACCUCAAAUAGAGCCGAUGUAUUA